AACAGAAGUAUAAUAAAUAAAUAAAAUACGCUACAAUUGAAUUUGUCUAAAUGUGAUAGCUUGAAAAAGAGGCUGCCCUCAGUUUUCAGGAAAGUGAUUUCAUUUCUUCCUGGUGCAGGCUCCAGCACCACAUGCCAUUUGGUUCCAGACAGUCUCUGGAUCCUUAGUAAUAGUUUUUUAGGAAAGCCAGGGAAGAGGAGCCCGCAAAGGAAUGUGCAGGCAGCUAGGAUCUGGCCAUGGUUAUUAAUGCGUAAAGCUGUUAGUUCUGAGUCAGUGGAAAGAAACCGUUUCAGCUGAUCCAUAAGCCAUUCAAGCUGGAGUUGUUGACUUUAAACAUGUAUAAUCCCACUGAUGUCAGUAGUACUAUUCUGAUUUAGUCAAAGUAAUGUGAGCUGUUUUCUGCUGUGACUGCUUGUCAAUAGAUUUGCAACUUAAACAUUUGCAUUUUAAACAUUUUUGAAGCAGAUUUUGCCGAUAUCCAUGGAGCCUCCUUUCCAGAAGCAUCUAAGUCUUAUUUAGUUAAGAAUAUUCUAUACACUUUUCAGACAAAACUAUUUGCACAACAACAUGUUUUCUUUGGGGGUCAAGCAAUGGAAGUUUUCUCACAUUAAAACCAAAACAACACUUAAUGUCAUUCUUUGCUCUGGAUGUAGUGGCAUAACUUUGAUAUGCAGCUGAAAUCCUCAGACAGGCUGCAGAAGUUACCUUGGUUUCAAGACCAGAUUUAAGUGUAACCUUGAGAGGGAUAUGACAGCUUUGAUUCUCAUACACUUUUUUUCUCCUUAAUUUUAGAUGCAGAGAGUAGAAUAAUUUUUUAUGCAUCCGCUUGGUACAUUUCAGAAUUUACUUUGCCUACAUGUGCAAUAUCCUCCUUCCAGCACACCCGUUUAAAUAUCAUUGUUAUCCUUACUAGUUAUCAAGUGAUAUCCACUGGUUAUACACAGCAGCAUUAAAGAUCCCAGCUGCAUGUUACCUGGAAUGACAAGCUUGUUACUACAUCUGUGGCAGCAGAGGAGUAGCUACUACCUGUAAGCUAUUCUGGAUAACACCUAACAUGUUUCUGUGAUGAGCUUUGGUAUAACUGGCGUGAUGUUUAAGUAAUUCAGCCAUAAGUUGGAAGCUAAUUGCAACAGGUCCUGAUCAUGUAAUCAGCCCUCUGAGAGGGCGAUGCAAAAGCCACAAGUGAUUGCCCCCACAAGCAGUGUUACUUCAUCAAGCAUUGAUCACAGAAAAGCUGUGUUAACACAUGCAAAGGUAACCUUAAAGGCAGGUGUGGGCAACUUGUGACCCUCCAGAUGUUUUGGCCUACAACUCUCAUCAGCCCUAGGCAGCAUAACCCAUGCUGAAGGGAACCAUAGAGCAGGACAUUGGGAGUUGCAUACCCUGUUGUAAGGACCACACCACAUUGGUGACAAAUUUGGAGGUGUCACGAGCAUAGUAAUAACUAUGGGGCCUCUCCUUAAGCAUGAGAUAACCAUGGGAAGUGCCAGAGAGGAGGAAGCAACCAUACCAUUCAGGUAACAUGAAGAACAGAACCUGAGGCUAGUGUUUGAUCUCGUCAGGUUCUCUAUGCAGCCUGAAGAAAGUUUUAAUUCAUAUUGCUAGUUUAAAGCAUUUAUUUUAUCCAAUGUAAACCAGAGGAAAAGGGCAAUGCAACAAAACAGCCUUAUGUAAGGGUUCAUGUAUCAACAUACCAGAUUACAUAUAUUGUGACUGAUUGGAAUUUAAGGAGUCCUGGGAAAGUUUGAUUUUGUUCAUUGAUGUUUGUUCAUUAUGUAUUGAAAGGCAAACAAAACAUUAGACAUAGCAAGUAGUUCUUUAUAGCCUGGUCCAGCUGCUUUUCCUCCACCCCCACUUUUUCUUCUGCGGGGAACUAUUUGAUGUACAUCUUACACAAAAAUUAUGUGAUGAAAGAGAUGUGCAUAGUACACCAUUUGUACGGCUGGUCCACCUUAGUGUGAAAUUCAUAUUGAUUGACUACCUGUCUCAGUGUUACAGGAUAUUUUCCCUAUAGACAUGACUUUAGAACUGGUAGAAUUUAGUUUGUGCUGCAUGAAGUAUCCAUAAAGUAUCCUCUUUCAAUUUUACCAAUUUGUGUUUUUUUUGUGUAGAACUCGAUGGUAGAUAUACCAGUACUUCCACCAGUUCCAGAAGUCCCAGACGGGUGGGAAAUACUAAUGAAGGCCUAAACCAUGAAUGCAAGCUGUGCAACCAGACCUUUGAUUCACCUGCCAAACUUCAGUGCCAUCUGAUAGAACACAGUUUUGAAGGAAUGGGAGGGACUUUCAAAUGUCCAGUUUGUUUUACAGUAUUUGUUCAAGCCAACAAGUUGCAGCAACACAUUUUUUCGGCCCAUGGGCAAGAAGACAAGAUCUAUGACUGCACACAGUGCCCACAGAAGUUCUUCUUCCAAACAGAACUGCAGAAUCAUACAAUGACUCAACAUAGCAGUUAGUGCAAGGCUCAAUUCUUCAGGAGAGGAUUCUUUGCAGGACAAAAAAAAGGGAACACAUUUUACUCUUUGCACGAGACUUUCAUUGUUAAUGUAUAUUAUUCAGAAACAUUGUAUUGUACCAUAAAACUUGUAUUAUCAAAACUGUUGGAUGUUCAUGUGUUUGAACUUUGAGCACCGGAGAGACUUCCUGUAUAUAAAGUGUUGCACAUGUAUUAUGUUGUCUGAUACUAAAAUGGUCUUAUAAAGACAAGUGGACUUGGGCCCUAUUCAAGCAGGAUUAAAAGGAUAAUGAUGAUAAUGACAAGUAAAGGAAAGCAAUGGUUAAGAAAAUGUUAAUUCAAGAAAGAGAAGAAAAAGAAGAAGAAAGUAGCAGUGAUACAUUAUAACCCUAUUUGGCCUUCCUUUCUUUCAAGCUUAUGUCUACAAUCUCUGUCUUUUGGUAUACAAACAGAUGAAUUCAAGAAUAUUUUUAUCGCUGAAGAAUCUUGCAAAAAAUAAAACAAAAUAUGGAGACUCUCCAAGCGGAAUCCCCCAGCUGAAUAUGGCCUGUAUAUAUAUUUGUAAGCCUUGCGAUAUGACAGAUAGCAUUAUCAUAUAUGCAAUAGUUGUUAUGUAGAUUGUCAAAGAAACUUUUUUCCCUGGAUACCAUUUGAAGCUUUUGAGUGUUCAAGACUUUUCCUUAAUAAUGUCACAUGGCCAAAUUUUUGAAUCAGUUGAACUAACCUGUAUGUUACUGUUAUUAAUGUUUACUCUGCGGUCUGAACCUGGAGAUUACUGGAAUGGUUUUCCAAGAGGAAAUAAAUUCAGUUUACCAUUACAUAAAA
Molecule: RNA transcript, 3279 nt
Organism: Varanus komodoensis (Komodo dragon)
Lineage: Eukaryota; Metazoa; Chordata; Lepidosauria; Squamata; Varanidae
Gene name: zinc finger protein 521-like
Exons: 4
Source: RefSeq, a predicted model, not a curated record